CCCCAAAAGAGCGCCCCCCCAUGGCAGGAGAAAAAAGUCCAUUUUUUCUUGUCCCAUAAGGUGAAAAUUCACACUAUUGACUGUCACGCCUGUACGCUUUGUCAAAAUUACACAAAAAUUGACACACACAUGUAUCUCAAUAAGAUCUACAAAAAAGUCAGUGCUGGCGUAUCUGUCAAAUGUACGGUUAAAGGGUUAUUGCGCAUUUUUUGCCGAUUCGCACACAUUGGAAUUUCGCUAACUCCUCCGAAGGCUUUCAAUCCACCGGCACCACAUUUGCUCAGGCCAAUCUACACCCCAUGGCCAUUAAAAGUUAUUCAAAUCAUGACGCUGCACCCCACGGUUUAGGUUCUAGGGGGCGCCAAAGAUAACCCUAAAAUCCACAUAUUUAAAAGUCUUAUAACUUUUUAUUUUUGUCUUCUCUGGCCUCCAAGUUUUCUAGGAUGAUGCAAUGUCCAGCCAUCAACACAUUUGUGAAGGAAUUUUUACUCCCCAAAAGAGCGCCCCCCCAUGGCAAGAGAAAAAAGUCCAUUUUUUCUUGUCCCAUAAGGUGAAAAUACACAUUGUUGACUGUCAUACCUGUAUGCUUUGUCAUAUUGACACAAAAUUUGACACACACAUGUAUCUCAAUAAGAUCUACGAAAAAGUCAAUGCGCGCGUAUCUGUAAAAUGUACGGUUAAAGGGCUAUUUUGCAUUUUUUGCCGAUUAGCACACAUUGGAAUGUGGCUAACCCCUCCUAAGGCUUUCGUCCCACUGACACCAAAUUUGCUCAGGCCAAUCUACACCCCAUGGCCAUUCAAAGUUUUAAAAAUCAUGACGCUGCACCCCACGGU
RNAcentral lists this long non-coding RNA (834 nucleotides) under Xyrichtys novacula (pearly razorfish). Lineage: Eukaryota; Metazoa; Chordata; Actinopteri; Labriformes; Labridae. The record is from RNAcentral.